AGUGAACGCUGGCGGUAGGCAUAAAACAUAAAAGUAGAACGGAAGAACAAUAAGAGAUUGAUAUUAAGGAUAGAGAGAAAAGGAAGGGAGAGGAAUGAAAAAAAAAAUACAAAUACGUGGGGGAUAAAGUAGGGAAACUUACGCUAAUACCGCAUACGACCUACGGGUGAAAGCAGGGGAUCUUCGGACCUUGCGCGAUUGAAUGAGCCGAUGUCGGAUUAGCUAGUUGGCGGGGUAAAGGCCCACCAAGGCGACGAUCCGUAGCUGGUCUGAGAGGAUGAUCAGCCACACUGGAACUGAGACACGGUCCAGACUCCUACGGGAGGCAGCAGUGGGGAAUAUUGGACAAUGGGCGCAAGCCUGAUCCAGCCAUACCGCGUGGGUGAAGAAGGCCUUCGGGUUGUAAAGCCCUUUUGUUGGGAAAGAAAAGCAGCAGGUUAAUACCCCGCUGUUCUGACGGUACCCAAAGAAUAAGCACCGGCUAACUUCGUG
RNAcentral lists this ribosomal RNA (492 nucleotides) under uncultured bacterium. RNAcentral describes it as "partial 16S ribosomal RNA". It matches the Rfam family "Bacterial small subunit ribosomal RNA", at positions 29 to 507 of the family's 1533-position model. The record is from RNAcentral.